Long non-coding RNA from Setaria italica (foxtail millet), 2135 nucleotides. RefSeq lists it as uncharacterized. The record is from RefSeq and is a predicted model, not a curated record. The transcript has 2 exons. NCBI's taxonomy places the organism in Eukaryota, Viridiplantae, Streptophyta, Magnoliopsida, Poales, Poaceae.
UCAUUCUCGGCUCCCCUGUUGCUAGCUUCUUUCCGUGCCACAUUGCUAACUACUAACUGCUAUGGGAAUGACCCGGGUAGGGAGAAGGUCAGGUCGCUCCGUCGCUGCACGGGGCCAUCCAGAAGCUCGACAUGUACAAGGGCAUUUCCACCGGCAAUCGAUCAGGAUAGGAGCGCAGGACAACUCUGAGGUCAUGAGCAAGCACCUGCGGCGAAUUCGGGUUCAUGCCUCAUCCCUUGGCUCACUCCACUGUUUGUUUCUCCUCAGCCCUUUAUGUGCUUGCUCGAGUUAACAUAAUAAACUUGGUUGUUCUGAGAGCUACUAGGACAAAUUUACAACCUUUACUAGUCUGCAACCAUUGUCACCAGGCCACUGUAUGUAUCAUUACUCUCCUUGGAGUUUCAGGUCCAGCAGCUCACAAAGUUUAAGUCUUGUCACAAACUUUUAAUGUUUUCGCUUUUGAGCAUCAAUCAUUAGUCAGUCUAUGACCCAAACCUAGGUUCCUAAGGGGCUGCUUGGUUCAGGCGCCACAGGCUGUGGCGUGGCUCGCCACGGCCGGUAACCAAGCAGCCCCUAAAUUUGGUAUUGAUCUGAACUCUACAAUUUCUUUUUUAAAAAAUGUUUUAGUCUUUGCUAUCUGAACUUUGAAAUUAGUCAUACUUCUGAUGUUGCUUUUGGCUAGUUACUGGUUUCUGCCUUUCUGGGAUACAGUUUUUCUUUUUAUGAAACGAUUUCUGGGAUACAGCUUGGUUUACUUACCUGCAGAAACAACCUUUUUCUCUCUUAUACCAUUCAAUCUCUGUAGCUAUUGAACUAAUACAGUUAUUUCGUGAUUCAAAUGUAGGAAUUCACAAAAGUGAUAGCCUUUAGCAUUUCUUAUCGUGAAGUAUAAUUCUAUCAGGUUUGUAUAUAGUAUCAAGCAUGUUAAAGAAAACUCUUUGCCUGCAAAAAAGAGUGGGUCCUAUUUGGAAAAAAAUGUGGUGAGGAUUAUUUCUCGGGGAAAGCUCACAGCUCUCUGGUUAUGAUUAACAGGUGAAUGCUCAUAAUCUAGCUGUGCCCUAGACAGAUUCUUAGCUUGUCUGACAGACAUACAAUGCAAAAGACACCUUUGUCAAAUAAUAGAAGGCUUCCUUUAAAGGAAAACCUACUUUAUUUAUAACUAAAAGCUCCAGUUACAUGAUGUUUGAGAAAAAAGGGUUUCAAAUAAGCAAGUACAAGAGGAAAUAAAGUGUCACGUUAGUCAUUGGCUGAUGCUUAGAAUCAAUCUGACAAUUAAAAUUUACAAAAGAAAACUUUCCAAGUUGCUCUUCUUCCGAGAGCCCUUCUUAGCUGCCAUAUGCGGUAGCUUUCCAAUCCCAUAACUGAAGGAGCGGUUCUUGUGUGGUAGUAUCCGAGACCUCCUUACCUUGAUUCUCCCUCUACAUUGCAGUUCAUUUCAGUUUGAUGUCACUUGAUGUCCCAAACCUGGCGAACAAAAAUCACUGAAAAGCAAACCUUUUAGGUUGCCUUCUUCCCAGAGCGCUUCUUGAUUGUGGUGCGGCAUGACUUUCGUAUCUCACAGCUGAAAAUGUGGUUCUUGUAUGGUGGCAUUUGGGACCUUCAUGCUAGGACCUCGAUUCUCCCUCUACAUUCCAUAGUUCCAACUAGGAUAUCCUCAAAUGUUAUAUUGGGAACUUCCUCGUGACCAGAAUUUGUUUGAUACUGAUUAUGGACCACACAAAAUUCAGCAUUGGCCAUUCUCUGAAAAAUCGUCAAAAUUCAGCAUUGGCCAUUCUCUGAAAAAUCGUAGGCUUAUUUUUUUUUUUGCAUGAGGGCACAUGGAUGUUCACCAAACAUGGAGGUGUUCCUUUGUAUAUGGAGCCUUGUAAAUUUAAGUGCUCUCGACCAAAAUUGAGCAUUAAGGAUCUGUACUGCCAAAUGUGAGCACCUUGAAGAAAUACCAGAAUGCUUCUCUGGUUAGAUGGUUCAAUACAAGAGCUUGUGUGGUACCAAAUUCAAUGAUUUUUCUAGAUUGACAUGUGAUUAUGACUUUGCUACCGCUGGCAAUUCCACCAACAUAAGUUGAAUAUAUGUUUUUCCAUGUAUCCUCGUCGAUAUCCUUUGGCAAUUCAAUGAUAAGUAGCAGCGCUUUAUUU